This is a long non-coding RNA of Heterocephalus glaber (naked mole-rat), 1029 nucleotides long. RefSeq lists it as uncharacterized. Lineage: Eukaryota; Metazoa; Chordata; Mammalia; Rodentia; Bathyergidae. The record is from RefSeq and is a predicted model, not a curated record.
GCACCCCCCGCCCCACUUGGUGCUCUUACCGGAAACACGCAGGCCGACCUGGAGGAAGAGAGAAAUGCGACAUAAGCACGCUGUGUCCAUUUUCGGCACUUUCAUCUCUAAUCUUCAAUAAUUUUUGAGAUUUUUAAAAUUUACUGUAUAUCUGGUCUCACACAGACAAAACAGACACAGCACCUGAACUCUGGAGCUCCUGAGAUUGCUGCCUCGGCUCCAUCGUGGUGCUGACGUGCACUGGGGACGUUUUCAAUACAGUUAAUAAGUGAUGACGCUUGGACAAGGCACAGUUCUCUGAUCUUGGGGUGAAUCAGUUACCAGAACGGUCAAAACCUCCGGCCAUUGUGGAGUGUGCAGUGUGCAAGAAGCAGCAACAACAACGUCAGUCAAUCAACUGUAUAAGAAAUUAAAAGGCCACAGUGCUGUGUAAAGAAGGACAAGAAGAGCAGGAGGGAAGCAGUGGACUCCUGAGGUGGUGCCACCAUCUUCAGUGUGAUAAGGACAAUCAGUGCCUCAGUGUGUGGUGAGAGUGAGGCCACCCACGGGGGGCCCAUGUCCUUGGGCAGGGUGCCAGGGCUUUUCCCAGCUGGAGCCAGGUGCUUAAGUGUGGAUCCAUGAGUUAUUACAGAGGCACAGCAUUUCACUCACGAAGGGAAAGGAAGUGGGUCCAAAUUCUUCUCUAGUCGGAGCAAAGAAAGACGCUCCAAUUUCCCCUUUCAUUUAUUUGAAUGAAACUGGCUUCGAAAGGAAGAGUUAUGUGGAAUGACUACAGUUCACAAUAACCUAUCAUGUUCCUAUGAAGUUCUGGAAGACAGAACUCCAGACAUAACGAAGGCUCCAGACAUAAAGAAAUGACAAGAAGGGGAGGAUGCUAAGUGCACAGGAGCCUCUCCUGAAACGUGCAUGAGAAGCAGACCUGCGUGGCAGAAGGGAUGUUGGAGGACGUGCAGUUCCAUGGAUCAGGUCUCCCAUAACAAAAUCUUUGUAAAUAGGGAUGGAUGGAGGGGUUGAAGGGAGGGCUGGGCA